ACCGGAGCUUGCUCCACCGGGAAAAGAGGAGUGGCGAAUCGGGUGAGUAACACGUGGGUAACCUGCCCAUCAGAAGGGGAUAACACUUGGAAACAGGUGCUAAUACCGUAUAACAAUCGAAACCGCAUGGUUUCGUUUUGAAAGGCGCUUUACGGUGCCGCUGAUGGAUGGACCCGCGGUGCAUUAGCUAGUUGGUGAGGUAACGGCUCACCAAGGCCACGAUGCAUAGCCGACCUGAGAGGGUGAUCGGCCACAUUGGGACUGAGACACGGCCCAAACUCCUACGGGAGGCAGCAGUAGGGAAUCUUCGGCAAUGGACGAAAGUCUGACCGAGCAACGCCGCGUGAGUGAAGAAGGUUUUCGGAUCGUAAAACUCUGUUGUUAGAGAAGAACAAGGGUGAGAGUAACUGUUCACCCCUUGACGGUAUCUAACCAGAAAGCCACGGCUAACUACGUGCCAGCAGCCGCGGUAAUACGUAGGUGGCAAGCGUUGUCCGGAUUUAUUGGGCGUAAAGCGAGCGCAGGCGGUUUCUUAAGUCUGAUGUGAAAGCCCCCGGCUCAACCGGGGAGGGUCAUUGGAAACUGGGAGACUUGAGUGCAGAAGAGGAGAGUGGAAUUCCAUGUGUAGCGGUGAAAUGCGUAGAUAUAUGGAGGAACACCAGUGGCGAAGGCGGCUCUCUGGUCUGUAACUGACGCUGAGGCUCGAAAGCGUG
Molecule: ribosomal RNA, 713 nt
Filed under: uncultured bacterium
Lineage: Bacteria
Description: bacterial SSU rRNA
Rfam family: Bacterial small subunit ribosomal RNA
Source: RNAcentral